CACUUGGCAAUUGAUGGCACUGGUGGGGUUGAAGCCUCACAGCUCAUGGUGUGUUCUCAUUCUCUGUGUGCUUUUCCUGGUGCACUGAAGCUCCCAUGCUCUCCUGCAGCAGAAGUCUGGAAUUUGCCCUGCCAGAUCUGCUUGAGGUGGAAUGUGGAGCUCUGGAACAGCAGUGGUAGGUGGCUUGCCUGUAUUCCCUUCCAGCUUUUCCAGAUGAUAAUUCCCUGCUUCCACCUGGCUCUAGGAGUCAUUAGUGGGUGACAGCUCUCUGAAGCAUCCAUAGAGCUCCUCUGCCCUUCCUGUUUGAACUGCAUGUUUCAGAUGUGUUAUCAAGACAUUGCCAUUGUGCAGAUACAGAUUAGUUCUUGAGACUGAUUUUUCUGCUUCACCAGUUCUUUUGUAGCUGCCAGAACUAAUUGCUUACAUUACAUUACCAGUCUGGGCCUCUAUCACUCCCUGGAUGAUGCCAUCCGUUGGAAUACAGCUGCAUACUUAAAUGCACUUCUUAACUAUAUUUUACCAUUUCUGCCCAUGUUUGCAACUGACAGAAUUGUCCCUGAUUUUUUUCGCUGACCCCCACUACGUGCUAGAAAUUGUAUAAUAGCUGAACUGAUUCACUUGCCAUUUCUACCUCUAGAAUUUCCAGAUUUUUCCGAUUUAAUGGGAGUUUAACAAAACUAUGUAUAAAUUCUGUCUACAAAUAAUCUUUCCUUUCUGAGACUGGGUAAAGUUGCUCAGAAGUAACAUUGUAGUGACUGUUGAUACUCAGAAAACUUAAAGCUUCCGAAAGGCAGAAUGAAAAUGUGGAAGUGCAUCAAAGCCUAUCCCUCUUGCAUAGUAAAAGGGUUUUUUUUUUUAUUGUCCAGCUGUAUUGAAUCUUCAUUCCAAGACAUAAAAACCUCUAUAUCCACUAACUGUGCUGUGCUGUCACACCAACACUGGCUGUCACUACAAAUUCCUGGAUGGUGCCUGUGCAUUCAAAUACUCAGGUUAUGUGGACAUCAGCUGACCUUUUCUUCUGAAGAGAGAACAUCACAGUUCUGCAUACUACCCAAUACUUGUUAA
RNAcentral lists this long non-coding RNA (1065 nucleotides) under Cyanistes caeruleus (blue tit). RNAcentral's name for it is "lncRNA (ENSCCEG00000003088.1)". The record is from RNAcentral. Lineage: Eukaryota; Metazoa; Chordata; Aves; Passeriformes; Paridae.